This 496-nucleotide ribosomal RNA is filed under the name uncultured bacterium. RNAcentral describes it as "bacterial SSU rRNA". It matches the Rfam family "Bacterial small subunit ribosomal RNA", at positions 28 to 532 of the family's 1533-position model. The record is from RNAcentral.
GACGAACGCUGGCGGCGUGCUUAACACAUGCAAGUCGAACGGGAACAUCAGAAUAGUUUACUAAUUUGAUGUUUUAGUGGCGGACGGGUGAGUAACACGUGGGCAACCUGCCUUAUAGAGGGGGAUAACAGCGAGAAAUCGUUGCUAAUACCGCAUAAAGUUAUUAUUUCGCAUGAUAUAAUAAUGAAAGGAAUAAUCCGCUAUACGAGGGGCCCGCGCCUGAUUAGCUAGUUGGUGGGGUAAAAGCCUACCAAGGCGACGAUCAGUAGCCGAUCUGAGAGGAUGACCGGCCACACUGGAACUGAGACACGGUCCAGACUCCUACGGGAGGCAGCAGUGGGGAAUAUUGCACAAUGGAGGGAACUCUGAUGCAGCAACGCCGCGUGGAGGAAGAAGGUUUUCGGAUUGUAAACUCCUGUCAUUUGGGACGAUAAUGACGGUACCAAAGGAGGAAGCCACGGCUAACUACGUGCCAGCAGCCGCGGUAAAAGUGUGU